UACAGUCAAUGCUUCACCUAAACUAGAAGACAGGCCUAACAGGCAUACAACACAAACUCCAGUAAGGUCCUCACAUUAAAAUUGACCUAAAAUGUAACAAUAUCCAUCAGCUUCAAGUUUCCGGCCUCAUAAUUAGGCAUUGGGUAAUUGGUGUUUUCCAUUCUC
This is a long non-coding RNA of Telopea speciosissima, 165 nucleotides long. RefSeq lists it as uncharacterized. The record is from RefSeq and is a predicted model, not a curated record. Lineage: Eukaryota; Viridiplantae; Streptophyta; Magnoliopsida; Proteales; Proteaceae. The transcript has 4 exons.